CCUACGGGAGGCAGCAGUAAGGAAUAUUGGUCAAUGGACGCAAGUCUGAACCAGCCAUGCCGCGUGCAGGAUGACGGCCCUCUGGGUUGUAAACUGCUUUUAUACGGGAAGAAACCUCUGGUUGCGAUCAGAGCUGACGGUACCGUAAGAAUAAGGACCGGCUAACUUCGUGCCAGCAGCCGCGGUAAUACGAAGGGUCCAAGCGUUAUCCGGAUUUAUUGGGUUUAAAGGGUGCGUAGGCGGCUUAUUAAGUCAGUGGUGAAAGACUUCAGCUUAACUGAAGAACUGCCAUUGAUACUGAUGAGCUUGAAUAUACUUGAGGUGGGCGGAAUGUGUCAUGUAGCGGUGAAAUGCUUAGAUAUGACACAGAACACCGAUUGCGAAGGCAGCUCGCUAAAGUAUGAUUGACGCUGAUGCACGAAAGCGUGGGGAGCAAACAGGAUUAGAUACCCUGGUAGUCCACGCCCUAAACGUUGAUAACUCGAUGUGUGCGAUAUACAGUACGCGUCCAAGCGAAAGCAUUAAGUUAUCCACCUGGGAAGUACGGUCGCAAGAUUGAAACUCAAAGGAAUUGACGGCUGAGAGNGCGAGGCGACACAGGGGAGGAGG
This 609-nucleotide ribosomal RNA is filed under the name uncultured bacterium. RNAcentral's name for it is "bacterial SSU rRNA". It matches the Rfam family "Bacterial small subunit ribosomal RNA", at positions 338 to 951 of the family's 1533-position model. The record is from RNAcentral.